AUACGUAGGGUGCAAGCGUUAAUCGGAAUUACUGGGCGUAAAGCGUGCGCAGGCGGUGAUGUAAGACAGUUGUGAAAUCCCCCGGGCUCAACCUGGGAACUGCAUCUGUGACUGCAUUGCUGGAGUGCGGCAGAGGGGGAUGGAAUUCCGCGUGUAGCAGUGAAAUGCGUAGAUAUGCGGAGGAACACCGAUGGCGAAGGCAAUCCCCUGGGCCUGCACUGACGCUCAUGCACGAAAGCGUGGGGAGC
RNAcentral lists this ribosomal RNA (248 nucleotides) under uncultured bacterium. RNAcentral describes it as "partial 16S ribosomal RNA". It matches the Rfam family "Bacterial small subunit ribosomal RNA", at positions 523 to 769 of the family's 1533-position model. The record is from RNAcentral.